AUGGGGCUCCGGCUGCGGCUGCGGGCAGCUCCGGAAGGGGGCGUUGUUUCUCUCUCAGAGAGAGACAGCUGCACUAUUUUAGGUAAAUCCCUCAUGCACUGGUGCCUAGAAACUGCCUCCAGGAACCACGAGACAGAAUAUUGCCGCUGUGCAGAAAGGGGCUCUCAUUUCUCAGUGAAGAGCUUCUGUAACAUCCAGAUGGAGACUAGAUUCGUUAGACUGGUGUAUUCCAGGGAACAAGGACCGUAUUCUUUUGCAUACAUGCAUUCAGUCACUCACUCAGUUCUUCUGAUCAUCUUAAUAUUCAGAGGGACCAGUGGUGACUCAGUGAACCAGACAGAAGGCCCAGUGACUGUCUCAGAGGGGGCUCUCAUGACCCUGAGCUGCACUUACCAGACUGCUAGGUCAGCUCCCUAUCUUUUCUGGUAUGUCCAGCAUCUCAACAAAGCUCCUCAACUCCUCCUGAAGGGCUUCACAGCAGACAAGAAGGUAGAGCAUGAAGGUUUUCAGGCCACUCUUGUGAAGAAGGACAGCUCCUUCCACCUGCAGAAACGGGCAGUGCAAGCAUCAGACUCGGCUGUGUACUACUGUGCUCUGAGGGACACAGUGAUGGAGGGCUGCAGGGGGAGCUGAGCACAAACCCAGAUGCAGAUGGGGCUCAGGCUGU
Molecule: non-coding RNA, 667 nt
Organism: Cervus elaphus (red deer)
Lineage: Eukaryota; Metazoa; Chordata; Mammalia; Artiodactyla; Cervidae
Source: the annotation of a RefSeq genome assembly